This is a long non-coding RNA of Lactuca sativa (garden lettuce), 1809 nucleotides long. RefSeq lists it as uncharacterized. The record is from RefSeq and is a predicted model, not a curated record. NCBI's taxonomy places the organism in Eukaryota, Viridiplantae, Streptophyta, Magnoliopsida, Asterales, Asteraceae.
CGUCGUUCUGUUCAAACAAAAUUCGUAACCCUAAAAUCAUCUGGAUACAAAAAUCGUAAAACCCUAAAUUCGUCGUUCUGUUCAUACCUUUCCAGAUCCAAACUGAACCAGCGAAAUGUCUGCUGUGCAUCUCCGAACUAGCCAUCCGCGGAUCACUGAAAAGUACAGUCACAGCUGCUCGUUGUCUGUGUAGUAAGAUAGCGUACCUUUUUCUAUCUUCUCUACCACGAAUAACUGUAGAAGAACGAUGCAUCAACUAAAAUGUAAUCACCUGAUUGCAAUCAAUAAUUUGUUUUCGGAAUGAGAGUCAAAGGUAUACAUACAUGACUGAAGAGUGUGAAUUCCUCGUUUCAUCUCCCUGAGCAAAUGACGAGCUUUGUGACCUCUGAAACAGCUUUGAACUCGUAAUAUGCCAUUCAAAGUACGAUUUCUUGUAUCCUCAAGCUUUCCAAUCUGGCAAGAAAAAAUAGGCAUACAGUUCAAGUAAUAGAUAAUUGAAGGAAGGAAGAAGUGAAACCUGUUACCUGUCCAGUUCGAAAGAAGAGUUUUGUGUAGCCAACUUGAAACAUUUCAGGAAGAAUGCCGAAUUGAUUUAAAAUGGCAACUGAUACACUUAGUGGAUCUUGUGAUGCAACAUUAUCGAGUAGAAGAAAGCCAUACCUAGUAAAGAUAAACAAAAGGAAAAGGUUGUAUUUGAAUAAUAAAAAAAUGGAAGAAUUGAAUGUGAUUAGAAGUAUACCUUCUUGCGAAUUUUUGAUGCGUCAUUCUUGUUGGGAAUCCAGAUCUUGAUAUUCUAACAACUUCUAGAACACCACAGCAUUUUAGCUGUUGGAGAACAAGUUGCUGAUCAUAGAUUCCAGGAGAAUGUAAGUUGUUAGGCUUAAUGCAACGUAUGAAAUGAGAUCUUGUGUUCCCUAAACAUUGUAUUAACUGGAACAAUUGGCCUUUAAACUUUGACAUGACACUAAGCUUCUGGGAAUCAACUCCACCUGCUUUCUUUACUGAACCAAUCGAAGGACUUUCAGAUUGAAGAGAAAGCAUAUUCGAAGCAAAUAUCUGAGGAAGUUCACUUGUGCAAGAAGAUAGAAGUUGAAUGGAAUCAAUUCGCAAUAAAUCACGGUUUUUUUCAAGAAACCCGGUUGUGUCAUAUUUAACCUGUGAAACAACCAAAUUUUAAACAACAUGAAGUAUUAGAGAUAUUAGAUAGCAAAACAAUACUAAGUAUUAUAUUCAUAAGUCAUAACAUACUUCUCCAGCAUAAUGAUGAACUGUGAAUGCUUUGCCUCGUUCUCCUCUAAAACAUGGAUUAGAACUCAAGUGCUGCUUUAAUUUGUUGGCAAGUGACAAGUCUGUUGCUUUUGGGAACGUGGUUUCUUCAUCUAACAGACUUAGCAAUCCCAAUGGUUUCUGUAAAUACACCAAAAGGAAAUUUCAAUCAAGUGAAAAAGAAACAAUCAUGUAUAGCUAUCUAGAUUAAGUACAAUAACCCAUUAAGCCCAUUAAGUCAAAAAGCAAAAACAUCCCCUAAGAUAGAAAACAAGAAGUCUGGAUUGGAUACCUGUUCAAAAAGAUUCAGACAAGCUUGGUUGUCCUCAAAAUCCACCUUUGCCCAGUUGAUUCCAUCUUGGAUGUAUUCCUAAUAAAGAGACACCAGAUAGAUAGAAUAAUUAGAUAUGUAGAUUGUGAGAGCAUGCAGAUAGAUUGAUAUUAGAUUAGUUACCUCUUGUUGUAACUUGAAUAAAUGACGAUUGAAGUGUUGCUGUAAUCUCUCAUUUGCAUAAUUAAUGCAGAACUGUUCGAUACUAUUUA